RNAcentral lists this transfer-messenger RNA (366 nucleotides) under Clostridia bacterium. It matches the Rfam family "transfer-messenger RNA". Rfam says of the family: Bacterial tmRNA, also known as 10Sa RNA or SsrA, is named for its dual tRNA and mRNA-like properties. Its role is to liberate the mRNA from a stalled ribosome. To accomplish this part of the tmRNA is used as a reading frame that ends in a translation stop signal. Lineage: Bacteria; Bacillati; Bacillota; Clostridia. The record is from RNAcentral.
GGGCCCGCAAAGGUUUCGACGGGGAUUUUGAGGUAUGAUAAGCGCGGCGAGCCGGGUAAACUCGUAAACUGCCUAACCUAAACAAUAAACGACAACACUACUGUUGCAAUGGCUGCCUAAGGGCAGUGCCGUAGCCUGAGGGCUACCCGUUCUGCCGAGGAGGAUCACGGCCUCGGUAAGGGCGUCGAAUAGUGAUGCACGUGCAUCGGUGGUUCGUCCUUGAACCGGUCACGCAAAAAAGGGCUGCCCUGAAGAUCUGCGUGUCUGUUCGCAUAUCUGCGGGGGAGAAUUAAGAACAGACUGUCCGCGGAGAAAGUUAUACUAAGGGGUUUUCGGACACGGGUUCGAUUCCCGUCGGGUCCAUAA